This 1550-nucleotide long non-coding RNA is filed under the name Lytechinus variegatus (green sea urchin). RNAcentral's name for it is "uncharacterized LOC121422717". Lineage: Eukaryota; Metazoa; Echinodermata; Echinoidea; Temnopleuroida; Toxopneustidae. The record is from RNAcentral.
CGUAGGUUUCAACCCGCGAGCCGAGUCAGACCCGGCAAUUUUUUCGUGUGUAAACAGAAAGCCGUGUCGAACGCUAUAUGCUCUCUGAUUUGCCUCUAGUUCUGUGCUGUGCCCCUGCCUUCACUCGGUUUUCAUAGGUAAAAUACUCCUUUUAGUUGUCGUAAAAUUCUGUUGUUGCUCAUAAGAUUGUCUGUAUGAUAUAUCUCAAUUUUUUAUGAUCCUUGCAUGACUUAUUUUUCGUCACAUCAUGGCAGUUUUAUAACAAACGCAACCCAGCCUCCAGGCAAGAAUAUUUUUAUUUUUGUAUAGUCCCAGGCGUAUGUCUUAACAGUUGGAAAAGGGCUGCAACAUAAGUGUAGAUUUAUUCCUAAAUUUUGAUUAAAAGCUAUUAAAACCGUAUUACUACAUUCUAGUCACUAAGAAUUGAAUUGACAAAUAUGCCAAAAGUUAAUGAAAAAGUUAAGCAUGAUCGUGGACGAUUAUGGGACCAGAAGGAAGAGGAUCUACUAUUAGAAAUUUGGGCAAAGGAAGAUAUCAAGCAAAAAUUGGAUGGGACUGUAAGGAACAUUGUUGUCCAUGACGAAAUGAUACGGCUUUUAGCAGAGGCAGGGUAUGAGAGAUCCUUAACUUUGAUCCAAAACAAAAUAAAAAAUCUAAAGAGGAGAUACCACCAAACAUUACAAAAAAAAAAAGUGGGGAAGGUCGAGAGACCUGUGUGAACUACGAGCAACUCGAAAAUAUUUUGGGCGAUCGGCCCACAAGCACUCCUUUAGUAACUGGGCAGGCAGGGGUGAGCCAUGUUAUAGAGAGCAGGGAGGAGGAUGGGGAAGAGAACGAAACUACUGAGCUCGGUUCUUUUUCUGAUAUGGAUGAAUCAGACGAUGACUCUAUUGAUUUAGAGGAAGGCAUGAAUGUUGCCCGAAAAUUAGAUCAGAGAAUUGAUAGUAAUGAUACUGCUUCAGACACUUUCCAAGAAGAAUCAGAGUUCUGUUUCUGACCAUUUCCGGUGGUAGAGAGUAAAUAGCUCUUAACCAAUCAAAUGCAAGGGACAGAAUGAGUGACCCAGCAUUAGCCAAUGAUAUUUAGAGGGGUGUAUACUUCAGAAAACUUUCCAGAAUAUCAGAGUUCCAAGCUCUUGACCAUUAGGUCUAUGGGAUAAAAUUAUUAUAAAUUUAGCUAAAAUUUGAUUCUAAAUCAGAAGCUGCUGUAAUUCAACAGAGAUACUACUUGUUAGAGAUACUGCACAAGAGUAUUACAAGUUUUCAUCAGAAUACUAUAUUCAGCUCUCGGUGAAUACAACAAGGUGUUGUUAAGGACAACCUGAUAGUCCGGGUCUUGGGAUUCCACAUUGGCAAAAUUGGAAUCGUUAUAAAUCAGUAAACACCAACGAGAAGUUGGUGUUUAGAUUUAUGAUCUGUAACUGGAGUUAAAGAGACGGGGACGGAAUCAUUGGUCUAGGUCUAUAUCCAGGAGACAGGAGCUGACGUCAGACAGAUAGUCAUCGUCAGGGAACUCAAGUGCGAAACCAAGAAUCAAAGAAGAAGAAUAAG